RNAcentral lists this ribosomal RNA (466 nucleotides) under uncultured Halomonas sp. RNAcentral's name for it is "bacterial SSU rRNA". It matches the Rfam family "Bacterial small subunit ribosomal RNA", at positions 60 to 523 of the family's 1533-position model. The record is from RNAcentral. Lineage: Bacteria; Pseudomonadati; Pseudomonadota; Gammaproteobacteria; Oceanospirillales; Halomonadaceae.
AGUCGAGCGGUAACAGAUCCAGCUUGCUGGAUGCUGACGAGCGGCGGACGGGUGAGUAAUGCAUAGGAAUCUGCCCGGUAGUGGGGGAUAACCUGGGGAAACCCAGGCUAAUACCGCAUACGUCCUACGGGAGAAAGGGGGCUUCGGCUCCCGCUAUCGGAUGAGCCUAUGUCGGAUUAGCUAGUUGGUGAGGUAACGGCUCACCAAGGCCACGAUCCGUAGCUGGUCUGAGAGGAUGAUCAGCCACAUCGGGACUGAGACACGGCCCGAACUCCUACGGGAGGCAGCAGUGGGGAAUAUUGGACAAUGGGGGGAACCCUGAUCCAGCCAUGCCGCGUGUGUGAAGAAGGCCCUCGGGUUGUAAAGCACUUUCAGCGAGGAAGAACGCCUAGCGGUUAAUACCCGCUAGGAAAGACAUCACUCGCAGAAGAAGCACCGGCUAACUCCGUGCCAGCAGCCGCGGUAA